RNAcentral lists this long non-coding RNA (2149 nucleotides) under Manduca sexta (tobacco hornworm). RNAcentral's name for it is "uncharacterized LOC119193670". The record is from RNAcentral. Lineage: Eukaryota; Metazoa; Arthropoda; Insecta; Lepidoptera; Sphingidae.
UAUAAAGUAAAGAUCUGACAACACUAGCUAUUGUAUACAACGUCAAACAGUAGUAUCAAAUUAACAAAUAAAACUGUGUUUUAGUUGUUAUUUGUUUCUUGUGACUUGAGAAACGUGAUUUUUAUGUGUUACAAAUAUCAAUAAGUACAGUUGUGCUCAGAUGAUGAACAAAAUUAAUUGAAAAGAAAAUAUAGCAAUACCCAUAUUAUCUUGUACUACGGAUAAUGCGUGUGGAAUUGCAUGCCUAGUAUUAAAUCUACUUGUAUUCUGAUUGCUAAAUAUCUCGAAACAGGACAUAAAGUAAGACGCUAUGACGAAGAUAUAUCACGAUUAUUACGAUGGCAGUAAAAUUUUCCUAUUUCUGUCCAAUAGAAUUGGUCUUCCUUUGGACUUAGUAAGUACUUUGCUCUAAUACUUUUUAACAAUACUAAAAUAAUUUUACAGUGAAAGAUUUUUUUACAGCAGUUUCACUAUACAUAGUAGAACUUUUUAUGGGAUAGGUCUUAAAUUAAACAGACUGAAUUUGGAAAUUUUGCCACUGUGGGAGGGUCUAGGGCAGUCAUGCUCAGCCUUUUUUUAUAUGAGCACAACAAUGUUUCAGUGCGAAGAGUAGGGCAUAAAGACAUGAAUUGUUGAUCUACAUAAGUGCCUAAAACUUAAUUCAAAGUUUAAAUUGUAUUAAAAUAUUAUUAUUAUAAGGUUAGCAUACAGCUCGAGGAAUCUUGUGAAAAAUUAUAGCAAAUUUUUUUCAUAUAUUAUUUCAUUUUUAAAAAUGACUGCAAGUUCGUCCAAAGGCAGUUACAAUUAUUGUGAUUGUGAAACAUAAUUAAUUGGUACUUUAAGAUACUACCUACUUUGGUAUUAUAUGUAGGUUUUAUUUAUAACCACCCAGAAACCCUUUUGUUGACAGAAGACUACAAAACCCUCCCCACACCUACUCCACCCUCCCAAUUCAAUCUAUUUCAUUUAAAAAAUAUGCCCAUUAAUUGUAGAAGUUGCUUUUAGAGCAAUUUAUAUUAUUAUUUUAAUAUUAUAUCCAGUAUUCAAUACAGUAAUAUUAUUUCUUUUAACAAAUUAUUUUUCUUAUCAAAGGUAGUGUUAAUGCUAUCAAUAAGUCAUCAUUUUCAAUGUCUGAUUGUAGACUGUGUCGUUUUCUAAACAAUAACUCCAUGCUAUGUUAUCUAGAGCAGUAACAAUAAAUAUAUAAAAGUGUUAACAUUAGGUAUAUUAAAUUAAUCACUUUAUUAUAGCGAAUUCAACAAACUAUGAGUAAGAUAAUAAUCUUAAUAGAAUUUGAAAAAAAAAAACACAUUUUCCAAUAUUUUUUUUUUUUUUUAAUAACAGAAACAAGUACAGUUUUGUUGUCCAUAUUUUUAGAUGUGUGCCUGGGUUAUUGAACUAACAACCUUUUUCUGUGAGAAACAAACGCUUCAGCUUUAUAUCUUUAUCUAUUUAGAUAAAUAUCUAUACUUAUUAUCAAAGCUGAAGAGAUUAUUUAUUUGUGGGUUUGUUUAAACGCAUUGAUCCAGGAACCACGGGCUCAAAUUAAAAAUCGUUUUAGUGUUGAGUAGUCCAUUUAUCGAGGAAGGCUAUAUAACGUCACACUAUUACCAAUAGGAGCACAGCAUAAAUUAAAAAUGUUGCAAAAGUGCAGAAAAUGAGACUUUUUGUUGAGUGCACUGCGUAAACUAUUUAAGUUACCUAACAAUCCAGAAUUAUUUGUCUUAAAAAGUUCCAAAAAAUAUAAAACAAGUCCCGCCGCAUCUGUUUGCUUAUUUAACGCGAUAAACUAAAAAACUACCCAACGGAUUUUGAUGAAUUUGGUAAGGAUAUAGUUUGAGACCCUGGGAAGGACAUAGGAUAUUUUCUAUCCCGGGAAAAUAUAUAGCUGGAGUUUUAUCCCGGAAAACUUUUAUGCGGACGAAGCCACGAGUAAAAGCUAGGAAUAGUAUAGAUAGAUAGAUAGAUACAAAAGAAAAUUAAAUCAAUUAGAAAUAUUAACGUUCAAUCAAUGGUAAUAGCAGGUCCGCCACAUACCUACGAAAGUCCGUUUAGGUAUGUACCACCACAUUGUCUAUGGCUGCCGCCAAGCAGCAGUGUGCAAGCGGUGGGGGUUCAAUGGUAUAAUACCAAUGGCUUGUUUCACAAA